RNAcentral lists this ribosomal RNA (2889 nucleotides) under Vibrio mimicus. RNAcentral describes it as "bacterial LSU rRNA". It matches the Rfam family "Bacterial large subunit ribosomal RNA". The record is from RNAcentral. Lineage: Bacteria; Pseudomonadati; Pseudomonadota; Gammaproteobacteria; Vibrionales; Vibrionaceae.
UUAAGUGACUAAGCGUACACGGUGGAUGCCUGGGCAGUCAGAGGCGAUGAAGGACGUACUAACUUGCGAUAAGCGCAGAUAAGGCAGUAAGAGCCGUUUGAGUCUGCGAUUUCCGAAUGGGGAAACCCAACUGCAUAAGCAGUUACUGUUAACUGAAUCCAUAGGUUAACAGAGCAAACCGGGGGAACUGAAACAUCUAAGUACCCCGAGGAGAAGAAAUCAACCGAGAUUCCGGUAGUAGCGGCGAGCGAACCUGGAUUAGCCCUUAAGCACUCGUUGAAGUAGGUGAACAAGCUGGAAAGCUUGGCGAUACAGGGUGAUAGCCCCGUAACCGACGCUUCAUCGAGCGUGAAAUCGAGUAGGGCGGGACACGUGAUAUCCUGUCUGAAUAUGGGGGGACCAUCCUCCAAGGCUAAAUACUCCUGACUGACCGAUAGUGAACCAGUACCGUGAGGGAAAGGCGAAAAGAACCCCUGUGAGGGGAGUGAAAUAGAACCUGAAACCGUGUACGUACAAGCAGUAGGAGCACCUUCGUGGUGUGACUGCGUACCUUUUGUAUAAUGGGUCAGCGACUUAUAUUCAGUGGCAAGGUUAACCGUAUAGGGGAGCCGUAGCGAAAGCGAGUCUUAACUGGGCGUUCAGUCUCUGGAUAUAGACCCGAAACCGGGUGAUCUAGCCAUGGGCAGGUUGAAGGUUGAGUAACAUCAACUGGAGGACCGAACCGACUAAUGUUGAAAAAUUAGCGGAUGACUUGUGGCUAGGGGUGAAAGGCCAAUCAAACUCGGAGAUAGCUGGUUCUCCCCGAAAGCUAUUUAGGUAGCGCCUCGGACGAAUACUACUGGGGGUAGAGCACUGUUAAGGCUAGGGGGUCAUCCCGACUUACCAACCCUUUGCAAACUCCGAAUACCAGUAAGUACUAUCCGGGAGACACACGGCGGGUGCUAACGUCCGUCGUGGAGAGGGAAACAACCCAGACCGCCAGCUAAGGUCCCAAAGUAUUGCUAAGUGGGAAACGAUGUGGGAAGGCUCAGACAGCUAGGAUGUUGGCUUAGAAGCAGCCAUCAUUUAAAGAAAGCGUAAUAGCUCACUAGUCGAGUCGGCCUGCGCGGAAGAUGUAACGGGGCUAAGCAAUACACCGAAGCUGCGGCAAUAUCUUUUAGAUAUUGGGUAGGGGAGCGUUCUGUAAGCCGUUGAAGGUGGAUCGUAAGGUCUGCUGGAGGUAUCAGAAGUGCGAAUGCUGACAUGAGUAACGACAAGGGGGGUGAAAAACCUCCCCGCCGGAAGACCAAGGGUUCCUGUCCAACGUUAAUCGGGGCAGGGUGAGUCGACCCCUAAGGCGAGGCUGAAAAGCGUAGUCGAUGGGAAACGGGUUAAUAUUCCCGUACUUCUUACAAUUGCGAUGGGGGGACGGAGAAGGCUAGGUGGGCCAGGCGACGGUUGUCCUGGUUCAAGUGCGUAGGCUUAAGAGUUAGGUAAAUCCGGCUCUUUCUAAGGCUGAGACACGACGUCGAGCUACUACGGUAGUGAAGUCAUUGAUGCCAUGCUUCCAGGAAAAGCCUCUAAGCUUCAGAUUGUAAGGAAUCGUACCCCAAACCGACACAGGUGGUCGGGUAGAGAAUACCAAGGCGCUUGAGAGAACUCGGGUGAAGGAACUAGGCAAAAUGGUACCGUAACUUCGGGAGAAGGUACGCUCUUGAUGGUGAAGUCCCUCGCGGAUGGAGCUGACGAGAGUCGCAGAUACCAGGUGGCUGCAACUGUUUAUUAAAAACACAGCACUGUGCAAAAUCGCAAGAUGACGUAUACGGUGUGACGCCUGCCCGGUGCCGGAAGGUUAAUUGAUGGGGUUAGCGCAAGCGAAGCUCUUGAUCGAAGCCCCGGUAAACGGCGGCCGUAACUAUACGGUCCUAAGGUAGCGAAAUUCCUUGUCGGGAAGUUCCGACCUGCACGGAAUGGCGUAAUGAUGGCCACGCUGUCUCCACCCGAGACUCAGUGAAAUUGAAAUCGCUGUGAAGAUGCAGUGUACCCGCGGCUAGACGGAAAGACCCCGUGAACCUUUACUACAGCUUGGCACUGAACAUUGAACCUACAUGUGUAGGAUAGGUGGGAGGCUAUGAAGACGUGACGCUAGUUGCGUUGGAGCCGUCCUUGAAAUACCACCCUUGUAUGUUUGAUGUUCUAACUUAGACCCGUUUAUCCGGGUUGAGGACAGUGCCUGGUGGGGUAGUUUGACUGGGGCGGUCUCCUCCCAAAGAGUAACGGAGGAGCACGAAGGUGGGCUAAUCACGGUUGGACAUCGUGAGGUUAGUGCAAUGGCAUAAAGCCCGCUUAACUGCGAGAAUGACGGUUCGAGCAGGUGCGAAAGCAGGUCAUAGUGAUCCGGUGGUUCUGUAUGGAAGGGCCAUCGCUCAACGGAUAAAAGGUACUCCGGGGAUAACAGGCUGAUACCGCCCAAGAGUUCAUAUCGACGGCGGUGUUUGGCACCUCGAUGUCGGCUCAUCACAUCCUGGGGCUGAAGUCGGUCCCAAGGGUAUGGCUGUUCGCCAUUUAAAGUGGUACGCGAGCUGGGGUUUAGAACGUCGUGAGACAGUUCGGUCCCUAUCUGCCGUGGGCGUUGGAAGAUUGAAGGGGGCUGCUCCUAGUACGAGAGGACCGGAGUGGACGAACCUCUGGUGUUCGGGUUGUGUCGCCAGACGCAUUGCCCGGUAGCUAAGUUCGGAAUCGAUAACCGCUGAAAGCAUCUAAGCGGGAAGCGAGCCCUGAGAUGAGUCUUCCCUGACAGUUUAACUGUCCUAAAGGGUUGUUCGAGACUAGAACGUUGAUAGGCAGGGGUGUGUAAGCGUUGUGAGGCGUUGAGCUAACCUGUACUAAUUGCCCGUGAGGCUUAACCAU